CCUACGGGGGGCAGCAGUGGGGAAUAUUGGACAAUGGGGGCAACCCUGAUCCAGCCAUGCCGCGUGUGUGAAGAAGGCCCUCGGGUUGUAAAGCACUUUCAGUGAGGAAGAACGCCUGGUGGUUAAUACCCAUCAGGAAAGACAUCACUCACAGAAGAAGCACCGGCUAACUCCGUGCCAGCAGCCGCGGUAAUACGGAGGGUGCGAGCGUUAAUCGGAAUUACUGGGCGUAAAGCGCGCGUAGGUGGCUUGAUAAGCCGGUUGUGAAAGCCCCGGGCCCAACCUGGGAACGGCAUCCGGAACUGUCAAGCUAGAGUGCAGGAGAGGAAGGUAGAAUUCCCGGUGUAGCGGUGAAAUGCGUAGAGAUCGGGAGGAAUACCAGUGGCGAAGGCGGCCUUCUGGACUGACACUGACACUGAGGUGCGAAAGCGUGGGUAGCAAACAGGAUUAGAUACCCCAGUAGUC
This 465-nucleotide ribosomal RNA is filed under the name Vreelandella stevensii. Its description in RNAcentral is "partial 16S ribosomal RNA". It matches the Rfam family "Bacterial small subunit ribosomal RNA", at positions 338 to 795 of the family's 1533-position model. Lineage: Bacteria; Pseudomonadati; Pseudomonadota; Gammaproteobacteria; Oceanospirillales; Halomonadaceae. The record is from RNAcentral.